AGAGUUUGAUCAUGGCUCAGAGUGAACGCUGGCGGCGUGCUUAACACAUGCAAGUCGAACGAUGAACCUAGCUUGCUAGGGGAUUAGUGGCGAACGGGUGAGUAAUAUAUAGCUAACCUGCCCCUUAGAGAGGGACAACAGUUGGAAACGACUGCUAAUACCUCAUACUCCUUUUUACCAUAUGGUAGAUCGGGAAAUGCUCCGGCGCUAAGGGAUGGGGCUUUACGGUAUCAGGUAGUUGGUGGGGUAAAAGCCUACCAAGCCUAUGACGCCUAGCUGGUCUGAGAGGAUGAUCAGCCACACUGGAACUGAGACACGGUCCAGACUCCUACGGGAGGCAGCAGUGGGGAAUAUUGCACAAUGGAGGAAACUCUGAUGCAGCAACGCCGCGUGGAGGAUGACGCAUUUCGGUGUGUAAACUCCUUUUAUAUCCCAAGAUAAUGACGGUAGGAUAUGAAUAAGGACCGGCUAACUCCGUGCCAGCAGCCGCGGUAAUACGGAGGGUCCAAGCGUUACUCGGAAUCACUGGGCGUAAAGGAUGCGUAGGCGGAUAAUCAAGUCAAAAGUGAAAUCCCACGGCUUAA
This 584-nucleotide ribosomal RNA is filed under the name uncultured bacterium. RNAcentral describes it as "bacterial SSU rRNA". It matches the Rfam family "Bacterial small subunit ribosomal RNA", at positions 8 to 612 of the family's 1533-position model. The record is from RNAcentral.